Molecule: ribosomal RNA, 468 nt
Filed under: uncultured bacterium
Lineage: Bacteria
Description: partial 16S ribosomal RNA
Rfam family: Bacterial small subunit ribosomal RNA
Source: RNAcentral
GACGAACGCUGGCGGCGUGCUUAACACAUGCAAGUCGAACGGAAAGGCCCUGCUUUUGUGUGUUGCUCGAGUAGCGAACGGUUGCGUAACACGUGCGUAACCUGCCCUUGACUUUAGGAUAACUUCAGGAAACUUUGUCUAAUACCCGAUAGGACCUCCUGCUUCCUGGUGGUUGUUGGAAAGUUUCGGCCGUUCGGGUUGGACUCGCGAUUUCCCCGCUUGUUGGUGGGGUAGUGGCUUACUAAGGUCUUCACGGUUAGCCGGCUUGAGAGGGUGACCGACCACAUCGAGACUGAGAUAUGCCCCAGCUCCCUACGGGAGGCAGCAGUAGGGAAUAUUCAACAACGGGCGGAGGCCUGAUGCACGAAGCCAGCGUGCGGAAUGACGGCCGUCGGGUUGUAAACCGCUUUCGCAGGAGACAAAGCGUGAGUGACGGUAAUGGGUAAAGAAGCACCGGCUAACUACGUG